CCUAACUGUGACAAGAGGAUUUCUCGCAACGUUUUAUCUACCAAAUGCGUAGAAAUUUCAACAACUAUAUGGAAUCUCGAGCGAUUACGGAGCACCGCGUAUUACGUCGGUGCUGCAAGAAUAGAAAUUGCAUUACUAUCUUGAUGUAUAUAUGGAUAUUUUCUGGUUGCAGUCUCACCGUUCGAGAUGGCAUUGGGACAAGCGGAGGGAGUUGGUGUUCGCAACGAUGCUGAAGCGUACUGCACGCUCGGGGACCCCAUGUUCUCCAGUCUCUGCGCCUUUCGUUGGCUUAGUUUAUAUAUUAUAUUGUAUGCAUUGGUUUGAAAUAUAUACUUUGCAUGUCUUAUAUUUUAAAGAAAAUUUGUAUAGUACAUUUUAGCUUGUAGAUUUAGUAGUAUCGUUUCUAAUAUUCGCUCCAUUAUUCUGUACGUCAAGAUUUUGUAUAUUUGCUUAAUGUUGAUUAACAGUUUUGUAGACUUUAAGAAAUGAAAUGAAAUUAAUAAAAUUUGGAAAAUGUUUACAA
This is a long non-coding RNA of Bombus huntii, 523 nucleotides long. RefSeq lists it as uncharacterized. NCBI's taxonomy places the organism in Eukaryota, Metazoa, Arthropoda, Insecta, Hymenoptera, Apidae. The transcript has 2 exons. The record is from RefSeq and is a predicted model, not a curated record.